This 82-nucleotide transfer RNA is filed under the name Danio rerio (zebrafish). RNAcentral's name for it is "tRNA-Leu (TAG) (tRNA-Leu-TAG-28-1)". It matches the Rfam family "tRNA". Rfam says of the family: Transfer RNA (tRNA) molecules are approximately 80 nucleotides in length. Their secondary structure includes four short double-helical elements and three loops (D, anti-codon, and T loops). Lineage: Eukaryota; Metazoa; Chordata; Actinopteri; Cypriniformes; Danionidae. The record is from Rfam by way of RNAcentral.
GGUAGCGUGGCCGAGGGGUCUAAGGCGCUGGAUUUAGGCUCCAGUCUCUUCGGGGGCGUGGGUUCGAAUCCCACCGCUUCCA